RNAcentral lists this non-coding RNA (27 nucleotides) under Mus musculus (house mouse). Lineage: Eukaryota; Metazoa; Chordata; Mammalia; Rodentia; Muridae. The record is from RNAcentral.
UGCUCGCCACUACAGCUCAUUUGCAUG